This 62-nucleotide transfer RNA is filed under the name Asymmetricata circumdata. Its description in RNAcentral is "tRNA-Tyr". The record is from RNAcentral. Lineage: Eukaryota; Metazoa; Arthropoda; Insecta; Coleoptera; Lampyridae.
AGUAAAAUGGCUGAGAUUAAGCAAUAAAUUGUAAAUUUAUUUACGGAGUAUUCCUUUUACUA